AGCGAACGCUGGCGGCAGGCCUAACACAUGCAAGUCGAGCGCCGUAGCAAUACGGAGCGGCAGACGGGAGAGUAACACGUGGGAACGUGCCCUUUGGUUCGGAACAACCCAGGGAAACUUGGGCUAAUACCGGAUAAGCCCUUACGGGGAAAGAUUUAUCGCCGAAGGAUCGGCCCGCGUCUGAUUAGCUAGUUGGUGGGGUAAUGGCCCACCAAGGCGACGAUCAGUAGCUGGUCUGAGAGGAUGAUCAGCCUCACUGGGACUGAGACACGGCCAAGACUCGUAGGGGAGGCAGCAGUGGGGAAUAUUGGACAAUGGGCGCAAGCCUGAUCCAGCCAUGCCGCGUGGGUGAUGAAGGCCCUAGGGUUGUAAAGCCCUUUCGGCGGGGAAGAUAAUGACGGUACCCGCAGAAGAAGCCCCGGCUAACUUCGUGCCAGCCGCCGCCGUAA
RNAcentral lists this ribosomal RNA (449 nucleotides) under uncultured bacterium. RNAcentral's name for it is "partial 16S ribosomal RNA". It matches the Rfam family "Bacterial small subunit ribosomal RNA", at positions 29 to 523 of the family's 1533-position model. The record is from RNAcentral.